CUUGACGUCGGCGAUUUCAG
RNAcentral lists this unclassified non-coding RNA (20 nucleotides) under Chlamydomonas reinhardtii. RNAcentral's name for it is "small RNA Cre_1541". Lineage: Eukaryota; Viridiplantae; Chlorophyta; Chlorophyceae; Chlamydomonadales; Chlamydomonadaceae. The record is from RNAcentral.